Molecule: ribosomal RNA, 253 nt
Filed under: uncultured bacterium
Lineage: Bacteria
Description: partial 16S ribosomal RNA
Rfam family: Bacterial small subunit ribosomal RNA
Source: RNAcentral
UACGUAGGGGGCAAGCGUUGUCCGGAAUCAUUGGGCGUAAAGCGCGUGUAGGCGGCUCGAUAAGUCCGCUCUGAAAGUCCAGGGCUCAACCCUGGGAUGCGGGUGGAUACUGUCGGGCUCGAGUCCGGAAGAGGCGAGUGGAAUUCCUGGUGUAGCGGUGAAAUGCGCAGAUAUCAGGAGGGACACCAAUGGCGAAGGCAGCUCGCUGGGACGUGACUGACGCUGAGACGCGAAAGCGUGGGGAGCAAACAGG